GGAGUUGUGGCUCAGUAGUAGAGCGCUCACCUAGCAUGUGUGAGGUCCUGGGUUCGAUCCUCAGUACCA
This 69-nucleotide transfer RNA is filed under the name Ictidomys tridecemlineatus (thirteen-lined ground squirrel). RNAcentral describes it as "Spermophilus tridecemlineatus (thirteen-lined ground squirrel) tRNA". It matches the Rfam family "tRNA". Rfam says of the family: Transfer RNA (tRNA) molecules are approximately 80 nucleotides in length. Their secondary structure includes four short double-helical elements and three loops (D, anti-codon, and T loops). Lineage: Eukaryota; Metazoa; Chordata; Mammalia; Rodentia; Sciuridae. The record is from Rfam by way of RNAcentral.